Molecule: unclassified non-coding RNA, 334 nt
Filed under: soil metagenome
Description: partial contains 5.8S ribosomal RNA, internal transcribed spacer 2, and large subunit ribosomal RNA
Rfam family: 5.8S ribosomal RNA (bases 1-120)
Source: RNAcentral
GAUGAAGAACGUAGCGAAAUGCGAUAAGUAAUGUGAAUUGCAGAAUUCAGUGAAUCAUCGAAUCUUUGAACGCACAUUGCGCCCGCCAGUAUUCUGGCGGGCAUGCCUGUUCGAGCGUCAUUUCAACCAUCAAGCCCCGGGCUUAUGUUGGGGACCUGCGGCUGCCGCAGGCCCUGAAAUGCAGUGGCGGGCUCGCUGUCACUCCGAGCGUAGUAGUUACAUCUCGCUCUGGGCGUGCUGCGGGUUCCGGCCGUUAAAAGCCUUAUUUACCCAAGGUUGACCUCGGAUCAGGUAGGAAGACCCGCUGAACUUAAGCAUAUCAAUAAGCGGAGGA